GUGGAUUCACAUGGAACACUUUUAUAUAAACCAGAUAAACUAACUAAUAAUUAGAUGGUUCAAACCCAAUCACAUUAGGUCAAGACAACAAGCAAAGGGUUAGCACAAACAUAUUUGCACGGAACCCAAUUAGAAAUUUGGAUUAAUUCAUGUGCUAGCAUUUCAAUUAAUCCAUUGGAUUUAAAAUAAAUCCAAAUAGAUUGGACUA
RNAcentral lists this long non-coding RNA (208 nucleotides) under Elaeis guineensis (African oil palm). RNAcentral describes it as "long non-coding RNA (EGUI_LNC045426)". Lineage: Eukaryota; Viridiplantae; Streptophyta; Magnoliopsida; Arecales; Arecaceae. The record is from RNAcentral.